Molecule: ribosomal RNA, 465 nt
Filed under: uncultured Syntrophobacteraceae bacterium
Lineage: Bacteria; Pseudomonadati; Thermodesulfobacteriota; Syntrophobacteria; Syntrophobacterales; Syntrophobacteraceae
Description: partial 16S ribosomal RNA
Rfam family: Bacterial small subunit ribosomal RNA
Source: RNAcentral
CCUACGGGAGGCAGCAGUGGGGAAUAUUGCGCAAUGGGCGAAAGCCUGACGCAGCGACGCCGCGUGGGUGAUGAAGGCCUUCGGGUCGUAAAACCCUGUCGGGAGGGACGAAGCCUCGGCGACCUAAUACGUCGCCGACUUGACGGUACCUCCAAAGGAAGCACCGGCUAACUCCGUGCCAGCAGCCGCGGUAAUACGGAGGGUGCAAGCGUUGUUCGGAAUCACUGGGCGUAAAGCGCGUGUAGGCGGCCUCUUAAGUCGGGGGGAAAAGCCCGGGGCUCACCCCCGGAAGGGCAUUGGAUACUGGGAGGCUAGAGUACCGGAGAGGAGGGUGAAAUUCCUGGUGUAGCGGUAAAAUGCGUAGAUAUCAGGAGGAACACCGGUGGCGAAGGCGGCCCUCGGGACGGUUACUGACGCUGAGACGCGAAAGCGGGGGGAGCAAACAGGAUUAGAUACCCCGGUAGU